AAGGAGUACAAAGAAAGGAAAAGACAUCCUUCCGAAUGCCUCAAGGAAAGUUUUGGGGGGCAGGGGGAACUAAACGGGACAUUAAAGGUUCUUCUAUCUGAACCAACUAGGGCUAGCCCUGUUAGCCAAAAAACCCUUGCACCUUACUAGGAGGUUGUGGAUUUGAGUUUUGUCAUAGGCAAGACUUCCCCCUCCCCUGGCUACGGCCUCUGAUGUACCAAAAAGAUGGUUCUACCUAGGGUCUAAUCGUUCCCUUUUGUGGCAUUUGGGUUGGUUGCUGAGCUACUACUAACAGAUCAGUCUUGCCAAUGAAGCUCCUGUGUACUGGGUUAAACUCAGAAGAUCAACCUUGUCAUCACUACAUUCCACUCACAAGUUCUUUAUUUUUGCAUGGUUCACCUAGUUUCAAAAGCUUUCUCAGGAACAAACAUGGUUGAUCCUGAUCCAAAUUGUCCUACUCAACUAGUCCAGUUCCCUGCUGGGUACUCCAAUUUGAGCAUCCUCUUCUGAUGGAUGGAAGAGACAAGUGCGAGUGGGUGCUUCCAAUAACUGUGCAUGCACCGCUUCUGAGCACUCCACCAGUUCAUAUACGAAAUGAGAAGCUUGUGUCUUUGGAACCCUUGUGGGUUCGUAAUUGAAAGUAAGAUUUGUCGAUGAAAGCCUAAUACAAAGUUGUGAAAUUGCAUUAUCUGAAGAUAUCCUUUUGGUUGCACGCUACAACCGGAAGUGCAAGCUCCUAAAUUGCUGAUUUACCAUGGAUGCACCUCUAAUUUCAGCGGGUUAACUUUGUUAUUUCCUGUUGAGAUUUGUUAUUCAAAUGCAAAUCGGCAAAUCACAGUGCUUACAAGAGAUGAUGAUGGAAGAAGACACUACAACAUGUGCUCUGUCCCAGAUCCUAAUCUUCGUAAAAGAUGCUUUCUGUGAUUAGUGAGUGUUGUGCCCUACUCUGAUUCUACCUUCAUUUUGCUGUCCACUGUAUAUUUUUUUGGCCUCGAUGUGUUUUCCUUUACAUUCUAGGAACUGUCUGAAAGUGUUUCCAUUUUGUAUCUGCAAAGGAUUUUCUUUGGUACGAAAAUGAAGCAAUGAUUUUUAUUAGGAGAAAUUGG
Molecule: long non-coding RNA, 1106 nt
Organism: Camellia sinensis
Lineage: Eukaryota; Viridiplantae; Streptophyta; Magnoliopsida; Ericales; Theaceae
Source: RefSeq, a predicted model, not a curated record